This 253-nucleotide ribosomal RNA is filed under the name uncultured bacterium. RNAcentral's name for it is "partial 16S ribosomal RNA". It matches the Rfam family "Bacterial small subunit ribosomal RNA", at positions 524 to 776 of the family's 1533-position model. The record is from RNAcentral.
UACGUAGGUGGCAAGCGUUAUCCGGAUUUAUUGGGCGUAAAGGGAACGCAGGCGGUCUUUUAAGUCUGAUGUGAAAGCCUUCGGCUUAACCGGAGUAGUGCAUUGGAAACUGGGAGACUUGAGUGCAGAAGAGGAGAGUGGAACUCCAUGUGUAGCGGUGAAAUGCGUAGAUAUAUGGAAGAACACCAGUGGCGAAAGCGGCUCUCUUGUCUGUAACUGACGCUGAGGUUCGAAAGCGUGGGUAGCAAACAGG